Molecule: ribosomal RNA, 492 nt
Filed under: uncultured bacterium
Lineage: Bacteria
Description: partial 16S ribosomal RNA
Rfam family: Bacterial small subunit ribosomal RNA
Source: RNAcentral
AGUGAACGCUGGCGGUAGGCCUAACACAUGCCAGUCGAACGGCAGCACAGUAAGAGCUUGCUCUUACGGGUGGCGAGUGGCGGACGGGUGAGGAAUACAUCGGAAUCUACUUUUUCGUGGGGGAUAACGUAGGGAAACUUACGCUAAUACCGCAUACGACCUACGGGUGAAAGCAGGGGAUCUACGGACCUUGCGCGAUUGAAUGAGCCGAUGUCGGAUUAGCUAGUUGGCGGGGUAAAGGCCCACCAAGGCGACGAUCCGUAGCUGGUCUGAGAGGAUGAUCAGCCACACUGGAACUGAGACACGGUCCAGACUCCUACGGGAGGCAGCAGUGGGGAAUAUUGGACAAUGGGCGCAAGCCUGAUCCAGCCAUACCGCGUGGGUGAAGAAGGCCUUCGGGUUGUAAAGCCCCUUUGUUGGGAAAGAAAAGCAGCAGGUUAAUACCCCGCUGUUCUGACGGUACCCAAAGAAUAAGCACCGGCUAACUUCGUG